UCGGUUUUUAAAAUUUCAGGUAAUUUUAAUUCACAUCAGGUAAUACAUUCACUCGGCAAAAUCUGGCGCAGCUCAGAUUUUACAGGGUUCCCGCAGCCGGUUCCAAGUUCAGAGAUUGCUGGGAAACGGCGUGUCCCGGAAGGGGAGCAUCAUGGACAGCUCCUCGGUUGGCAGCCAGGUAGCGAGCUUCCUUCUGGGCAACAACGGCGACGGUUGGUUGAUAAGCGUAAGCG
Long non-coding RNA from Aedes aegypti (yellow fever mosquito), 233 nucleotides. RefSeq lists it as uncharacterized. The transcript has 2 exons. The record is from RefSeq and is a predicted model, not a curated record. NCBI's taxonomy places the organism in Eukaryota, Metazoa, Arthropoda, Insecta, Diptera, Culicidae.